GAUGAACGCUGGCGGCGUGCCUAAUACAUGCAAGUCGAGCGAACAGACGAGGAGCUUGCUCCUCUGACGUUAGCGGCGGACGGGUGAGUAACACGUGGAUAACCUACCUAUAAGACUGGGAUAACUUCGGGAAACCGGAGCUAAUACCGGAUAAUAUAUUGAACCGCAUGGUUCAAUAGUGAAAGACGGUUUUGCUGUCACUUAUAGAUGGAUCCGCGCCGCAUUAGCUAGUUGGUAAGGUAACGGCUUACCAAGGCAACGAUGCGUAGCCGACCUGAGAGGGUGAUCGGCCACACUGGAACUGAGACACGGUCCAGACUCCUACGGGAGGCAGCAGUAGGGAAUCUUCCGCAAUGGGCGAAAGCCUGACGGAGCAACGCGGCGUGAGUGAUGAAGGUCUUCGGAUCGUAAAACUCUGUUAUUAGGGAAGAACAAAUGUGUAAGUAACUAUGCACGUCUUGACGGUACCUAAUCAGAAAGCCACGGCUAACUACGUG
This 497-nucleotide ribosomal RNA is filed under the name uncultured bacterium. RNAcentral describes it as "partial 16S ribosomal RNA". It matches the Rfam family "Bacterial small subunit ribosomal RNA", at positions 28 to 507 of the family's 1533-position model. The record is from RNAcentral.